This 467-nucleotide ribosomal RNA is filed under the name uncultured bacterium. RNAcentral describes it as "partial 16S ribosomal RNA". It matches the Rfam family "Bacterial small subunit ribosomal RNA", at positions 28 to 507 of the family's 1533-position model. The record is from RNAcentral.
GACGAACGCUGGCGGCGUGCUUAACACAUGCAAGUCGAACGGAAAGGCCCUGCUUUUGUGGGGUGCUCGAGUGGCGAACGGGUGAGUAACACGUGAGUAACCUGCCUUGACUUUGGGAUAACUUCAGGAAACUGGGGCUAAUACCGGAUAGGAGCUCCUGCUGCAUGGUUGGGGUUGGAAAGUUUCGGCGGUUGGGGAUGGACUCGCGGCUUAUCAGCUUGUUGGUGGGGUAGUGGCUUACCAAGGCUUUGACGGGUAGCCGGCCUGAGAGGGUGACCGGCCACAUUGGGACUGAGAUACGGCCCAGACUCCUACGGGAGGCAGCAGUGGGGAAUAUUGCACAAUGGGCGGAAGCCUGAUGCAGCAACGCCGCGUGCGGGAUGACGGCCUUCGGGUUGUAAACCGCUUUCGCCUGUGACGAAGCGUGAGUGACGGUAAUGGGUAAAGAAGCACCGGCUAACUACGUG